CAAGAUCACAUGGCCGCGGCGACUAAGGGUCAUGUUUCUUGUGUCCAGCGAAAUUUUGCAGUUAAGUAGAUCAACAUUUCAAGGGAAAAGCGUGGACAUACAUACAAAGCUGAUGAGGAGAUAUAAGCAGGUCCCUGAGUGGUGGUUCAUCUGCAUCCUUCUUGUUAGCAUUGCUGCCACUGUGUUUGCUUGCGAGUACUACAUCGAGCAGCUCCAGCUGCCCUGGUGGGGAGUACUGGUUGCAUGCGCCAUUGCCUUUUUCUUCACCCUCCCAAUUGGGAUCAUCACAGCCACAACAAACCAGACCCCAGGAUUGAACAUUGUAACCGAGUACAUCAUCGGGUACUUGUACCCUGGACGUCCGGUCGCCAAUAUGUGCUUCAAGGUAUACGGUUAUAUCAGCAUGCACCAAGCUCUGAUGUUUCUUCAAGAUUUUAAAUUGGGACACUACAUGAAGAUUCCCCCAAGGACCAUGUUUAUGGCUCAGGUAAGCGCCACUAAGCCAUAUUUUCUCUCUCGAAUACGCACGAGUAUGCGUAUCAUAGAUUAAAGAGGAGCUACUAAACCAUAUACGUAGUUUACCUGCCAUUUCCACUCCACCAGGGCACACAAGACCAUGUUGUAUACUGACAGUAAGCAACAACUUCUUGGGAAAAUGGCAGGUGGUAGGAACAUCAAUUGUGGCAUUUGUGUACCUUGGAACGGCGUGGUGGCUGAUGGACACAAUCCCCAACAUCUGCGACAUUGAGCUUCUCUCAGCGGACAACCCUUGGACAUGCCCCACUGAUCAUGUGUUCUAUGAUGCGUCGGUCAUAUGGGGACUUAUUGGCCCGCGCAGAAUAUUCGGAGUCUUGGGAACUUACUCGGCAGUGAACUGGUUUUUCUUGGGAGGUGCUAUUGCUCCUCUGUUGGUAUGGUUUGCACACAAGGCAUUCCCCAGCCAGAAUUGGAUCUUACUCAUCAACAUGCCGGUGAUGAUCGGUUGCACUGUCAAGAUGCCGCCUGCCACUGCAGUAAACUACACCACAUGGGUACUUGUUGGGUUUUUGUCAGGUUAUGUGGUCUAUAGAUAUCGACGAGACUGGUGGGAACGACACAAUUAUCUGCUCUCAGGUGCACUAGAUGCAGGUUUGGCGUUCAUGGCUGUCUUAGUUUACUUGUGCCUAGGCUUGGAGAACAUUAGCUUGAACUGGUGGGGCAAUGACUUGGAUGGAUGUCCCCUAGCUUCUUGCCCCACUGCUAAAGGUAUAGUUGUCAAGGGUUGCCCUGUGUACAACUGAAAUUUUUUCUCACGUGCUCAAGAAAUUUCAGUAGUGAGUGAGCAUGCAUUGAUGUAAAUAACAAAUGUUUGUUCAAGCCUUUCACAGUGAGAAAAAAUAUGUUAAUUAUAUCAUUGAAAAUACCAGAAUGCUCAAAAUUGGAACGUCCAUAGUAACCACCUAAAGAACAAUUUUUUGUGCCAAUAGGUUUUUGCUGCCAAGUUAACUAUUGUUCUAGCUUGUAAAAGUACUAAUUCCUUGAUUCUUUGAAAUCUAGGAAAAUCAGUUUGCAUUGAAUUUACCACCACUAGUAAAAAAAUAUUGAUCACUAGAUAUUUUGAAGUACUGAACUUCUAUUAUUUCCAUUAGGAGUGUGGGACUAAAUGACUAAUCAUUGAUUAGUUUUUGGCUUCUAGCAACUUACAACCACUUCACCACUCAUGUGUCCCCCUAGUCUUCUCCUACUAACCGCGACCAAGAAGUGGUAUGCUCGGACUAGUCCACGGCGGAGCUAAUGGGGAGAGGCCGACCACUGGGAGAAUCAAACUAGGUUGGAGGGGGCCGAAGUGGAUGUGGUUUGGCGCAACAACUAUAUCUCACUUAUUGUGAGUUAGAAGGUGUGCUUGCCUUCGAAACUCCUUCAACUUGUUCGGCCCACCACACAAGUUCCUUUUCCUCGCGACCGCCUCUCUGGAGUAUGUGGGUUCCUUCACCCACGAGAUGAUGCGUACUGGACCGGUCUAGUUCGCCAUUUUUUAUCUUUC
Molecule: ribosomal RNA, 2023 nt
Filed under: Triticum aestivum (bread wheat)
Lineage: Eukaryota; Viridiplantae; Streptophyta; Magnoliopsida; Poales; Poaceae
Description: partial small subunit ribosomal RNA
Source: RNAcentral